AGAGAAUAGAUACCCCGGUAGUCCACGCCGUAAACGAUGUGCACUAGACUGGUGCGGUUUUGACGCCGUAUCAGUCGCAGUAAAAACGAUAAGUGCACCGCCUGGGGAGUACGGUCGCAAGGCUAAAAUUCAAAUGAAUUGACGGGGGCUCACACAAGCGGUGGAGCAUGUUGCUUAAUUCGAGGCAACGCGAAGAACCUUACCUGGGCUUGACAUGUACGGAUUAACCCUAUGAAAGUAGGGCCACACCCGCAAGGGCGGAACGUGCACAGGUGCUGCAUGGCUGUCGUCAGCUCGUGCUGUGAAGUGUCGGGUUUAAGUCCCUUAACGAGCGCAACCCCUGUCGUUAGUUGCUCACGCGUCAUGGCGAGUACUCUAGCGAGACUGCCGGUGUCAAACCGGAGGAAGGUGGGGAUGACGUCAAGUCCUCAUGGCCCUUACGCCCAGGGUUGCAAACGUGCUACAAUGGUGCAUACAAAGCGAUGCGAGAUCGCGAGAUGGAGCAAAUCGCAAAAAUAGCACCC
Molecule: ribosomal RNA, 524 nt
Filed under: uncultured bacterium
Lineage: Bacteria
Description: bacterial SSU rRNA
Rfam family: Bacterial small subunit ribosomal RNA
Source: RNAcentral